This 299-nucleotide ribosomal RNA is filed under the name uncultured bacterium. RNAcentral's name for it is "partial 16S ribosomal RNA". It matches the Rfam family "Bacterial small subunit ribosomal RNA", at positions 790 to 1084 of the family's 1533-position model. The record is from RNAcentral.
GUAGUCCACGCCGUAAACGGUGGGCACUAGGCGUCGGGGGUAUCGACCCCUCCGGUGCCGCAGCUAACGCAUUAAGUGCCCUGCCUGGGGAGUACGGCCGCAAGGCUAAAACUCAAAGGAAUUGACGGGGCCCGCACAAGCAGCGGAGCGUGUGGUUUAAUUCGAUGAAACGCGAAGAACCUUACCUAGGUUUGACAUGCUGGAAGUAGAACCCCGAAAGGGAACGACCCGUAAAAUCGGGAGCCAGCACAGAUGCUGCAUGGCUGUCGUCAGCUCGUGCCGUGAGGUGUUGGGUUAAG